Scatophagus argus is the source of this 512-nucleotide non-coding RNA. NCBI's taxonomy places the organism in Eukaryota, Metazoa, Chordata, Actinopteri, Scatophagidae. The record is from the annotation of a RefSeq genome assembly.
UGUCAGUGUCCUUCUCUAUGCAAAGUGAACUUCCUCACAGUCUGCUAUAAAGACUUGAUAUCAGCAGAAGAAGAGAAGCUCCCAUCAGAUCACCUUCAAUACCAACAUGUUCUCUGUAGCUCUGCUGCUGCUGCUGGCUGCUGGAUCCUGUGUGAAGUGUGAACAGUUGACACAGCCAGCCUCUGUGACUGUGCAGCCAGGUCAACGUCUGACCAUCACCUGUCAGGUCUCUUAUUCUGUUAGCAAUCAGCACACGCACUGGAUCAGACAGCCUGCAGGGAAAGGACUGGAGUGGAUUGGAGCUGCACGUGUUGGAUACACAACAAUUUACAAAGACUCACUGAAGAGCAGGUUCAGCAUCAGCUUACACUCCUCCAGCAACACAGUGACUCUGAGUGGACAGAAUGUGCAGCCUGAAGACUCUGCUGUGUAUUUCUGUGCCAGAGAGUCACAGUGAGAGACAACAAGAGGAGACUCAUGCAAAAACUAGUUCCUCUAUUUACACCACUGGG